Molecule: ribosomal RNA, 481 nt
Filed under: uncultured bacterium
Lineage: Bacteria
Description: bacterial SSU rRNA
Rfam family: Bacterial small subunit ribosomal RNA
Source: RNAcentral
AUUGAACGCUGGCGGCAUGCCUUACACAUGCAAGUCGAACGGCAGCACGGGAGCAAUCCUGGUGGCGAGUGGCGAACGGGUGAGUAAUAUAUCGGAACGUGCCCAGUCGUGGGGGAUAACGCAGCGAAAGCUGUGCUAAUACCGCAUACGAUCUAUGGAUGAAAGCGGGGGAUCGCAAGACCUCGCGCGAUUGGAGCGGCUGAUAUCAGAUUAGCUAGUUGGUGGGGUAAAGGCCUACCAAGGCGACGAUCUGUAGCUGGUCUGAGAGGACGACCAGCCACACUGGAACUGAGACACGGUCCAGACUCCUACGGGAGGCAGCAGUGGGGAAUUUUGGACAAUGGGCGCAAGCCUGAUCCAGCAAUGCCGCGUGCAGGAUGAAGGCCUUCGGGUUGUAAACUGCUUUUGUACGGAGCGAAAGGUUUCUCUUAAUACGAGGAGCUCAUGACGGUACCGUAAGAAUAAGCACCGGCUAACUACG